AACCAGCUCUUCAAGUGGUCGGGAUAAUUAUUGGGCUUAAAGCGUCCGUAGCCGGUUUAGUAAGUUCCUGGUAAAAUCGGGUAGCUUAACUAUCUGUAUGCUAGGAAUACUGCUAUACUAGAGGGCGGGAGAGGUCUGAGGUACUACAGGGGUAGGGGUGAAAUCUUAUAAUCCUUGUAGGACCACCAGUGGCGAAGGCGUCAGACUGGAACGCGCCUGACGGUGAGGGACGAAAGCCAGGGGAGCGAACCGGAUUAGAUACCCGGGUAGUCCUGGCCGUAAACGAUGCAUAUUAGGUGACGGUACGGCUAUGAGCCGUAUCGGUGCCGUAGGGAAACCGUUAAAUGUGCCGCCUGGGAAGUACGGUCGCAAGGCUAAAACUUAAAGGAAUUGGCGGGGGAGCACCACAAGGGGUGAAGCCUGCGGUUC
RNAcentral lists this ribosomal RNA (429 nucleotides) under uncultured archaeon. Its description in RNAcentral is "bacterial SSU rRNA". It matches the Rfam family "Archaeal small subunit ribosomal RNA", at positions 474 to 903 of the family's 1478-position model. The record is from RNAcentral.